GAUGAAGAACGCAGCGAAAUGCGAUACGUAAUGUGAAUUGCAGAAUUCAGUGAAUCAUCGAGUCUUUGAACGCACAUUGCGCCCCCUGGUAUUCCGGGGGGCAUGCCUGUCCGAGCGUCAUUGCUGCCCUCAAGCACGGCUUGUGUGUUGGGCCUCCGUCCUCCUCCCGGGGGACGGGCCCGAAAGGCAGCGGCGGCACCGCGUCCGGUCCUCGAGCGUAUGGGGCUUCGUCACCCGCUCUUGUAGGCCCGGUCGGCGCUUGCCGACACAUCAAUCUUUUUUCCAGGUUGACCUCGGAUCAGGUAGGGAUACCCGCUGAACUUAAGCAUAUCAAUAGCGGAGGA
RNAcentral lists this unclassified non-coding RNA (344 nucleotides) under soil metagenome. RNAcentral's name for it is "partial contains 5.8S ribosomal RNA, internal transcribed spacer 2, and large subunit ribosomal RNA". The stretch from base 1 to 120 matches the Rfam family "5.8S ribosomal RNA", at positions 35 to 154 of the family's 154-position model. The record is from RNAcentral.